This 372-nucleotide unclassified non-coding RNA is filed under the name soil metagenome. Its description in RNAcentral is "partial contains 5.8S ribosomal RNA, internal transcribed spacer 2, and large subunit ribosomal RNA". The stretch from base 1 to 120 matches the Rfam family "5.8S ribosomal RNA", at positions 35 to 154 of the family's 154-position model. The record is from RNAcentral.
GAUGAAGAACGUAGCGAAACGCGAUAGUUAAUGUGAAUUGCAGAAUUCAGUGAAUCAUCGAAUCUUUGAACGCACAUUGCGCCCCCCGGCAUUCCGGGGGGCAUGCCUGUUCGAGCGUCUCCAGGACGAAUCCUCGCGCGAGUGAACGCGCGGUCGUGGCGGAGGUGGCGUGCCCGAGCAGGGCGGCCACCGCGCUGGAAUCCAUGGGCGGACGCCUGCCGCGUGGCCGAGCGUGAUAUGACGCAUUGGCGCUCGUGCGCGGCGAGGCUGCCAGCCCUGGCCCGUCUGUCGGGCGGGGUAGAUCACCACGUGGGAACUCCUCGAAUCAGGUAGGGAUACCCGCUGAACUUAAGCAUAUCAAUAAGCGGAGGA